UACAGAGGUCUCAAGCGUUGUUCGGAUUCAUUGGGCGUAAAGGGUGCGUAGGUGGCGCGAUACGACCGGUGUGAAAUCCUCCGGCUCAACUGGAGGGGGUCACUGGUAACGGUCGUGCUGAUGAGUGCAGGAGAGGGACGUGGAACUCCGGGAGUAGCGGUGAAAUGUGUUGAUAUCGGAAGGAACGCCGGUGGCGAAAGCGACACACUGGGUCUCAACUGACGCUGAGGCACGAAAGCCAGGGGAGCGAACGGG
This 255-nucleotide ribosomal RNA is filed under the name uncultured bacterium. RNAcentral describes it as "partial 16S ribosomal RNA". It matches the Rfam family "Bacterial small subunit ribosomal RNA", at positions 524 to 776 of the family's 1533-position model. The record is from RNAcentral.